GCCCUCGGUGGCUCAUUUGGAUAGAGCGUCUGCCCCCUAAGCAGGAGAGACCGGGUUCGAUUCCCGGUCGGGGCA
Molecule: non-coding RNA, 75 nt
Organism: Schistocerca serialis cubense
Lineage: Eukaryota; Metazoa; Arthropoda; Insecta; Orthoptera; Acrididae
Source: the annotation of a RefSeq genome assembly